GAUCAUGGCUCAGGAUGAACGCUGACAGAAUGCUUAACACAUGCAAGUCUUUGGCGAAGCUGUGCUUGCACAGCCUAGCCAAGGCUGACGGGUGAGUAACGCGUAAGGGACUUGCCCUGCAGUCAGGGAUAACAGACGGAAACGACUGAUAAAACCUGGUAAAGUCAGGCGGACUCAUGUCCAGCCUGAUGAAAAGGAAUGCUGCAGGAGAGCCUUGCGU
This 220-nucleotide ribosomal RNA is filed under the name uncultured bacterium. RNAcentral describes it as "partial 16S ribosomal RNA". It matches the Rfam family "Bacterial small subunit ribosomal RNA", at positions 15 to 236 of the family's 1533-position model. The record is from RNAcentral.